RNAcentral lists this ribosomal RNA (902 nucleotides) under uncultured bacterium. RNAcentral's name for it is "bacterial SSU rRNA". It matches the Rfam family "Bacterial small subunit ribosomal RNA", at positions 21 to 915 of the family's 1533-position model. The record is from RNAcentral.
GGCUCAGGAUGAACGCUAGCUACAGGCUUAACACAUGCAAGUCGAGGGGCAGCAUGGUCUUAGCUUGCUAAGGCCGAUGGCGACCGGCGCACGGGUGAGUAACACGUAUCCAACCUGCCGUCUACUCUUGGACAGCCUUCUGAAAGGAAGAUUAAUACAAGAUGGCAUCAUGAGUCCGCAUGUUCACAUGAUUAAAGGUAUUCCGGUAGACGAUGGGGAUGCGUUCCAUUAGAUAGUAGGCGGGGUAACGGCCCACCUAGUCUUCGAUGGAUAGGGGUUCUGAGAGGAAGGUCCCCCACAUUGGAACUGAGACACGGUCCAAACUCCUACGGGAGGCAGCAGUGAGGAAUAUUGGUCAAUGGGCGAGAGCCUGAACCAGCCAAGUAGCGUGAAGGAUGACUGCCCUAUGGGUUGUAAACUUCUUUUAUAAAGGAAUAAAGUCGGGUAUGGAUACCCGUUUGCAUGUACUUUAUGAAUAAGGAUCGGCUAACUCCGUGCCAGCAGCCGCGGUAAUACGGAGGAUCCGAGCGUUAUCCGGAUUUAUUGGGUUUAAAGGGAGCGUAGAUGGAUGUUUAAGUCAGUUGUGAAAGUUUGCGGCUCAACCGUAAAAUUGCAGUUGAUACUGGAUAUCUUGAGUGCAGUUGAGGCAGGCGGAAUUCGUGGUGUAGCGGUGAAAUGCUUAGAUAUCACGAAGAACUCCGAUUGCGAAGGCAGCCUGCUAAGCUGCAACUGACAUUGAGGCUCGAAAGUGUGGGUAUCAAACAGGAUUAGAUACCCUGGUAGUCCACACGGUAAACGAUGAAUACUCGCUGUUUGCGAUAUACAGCAAGCGGCCAAGCGAAAGCGUUAAGUAUUCCACCUGGGGAGUACGCCGGCAACGGUGAAACUCAAAGGAAUUGACG